Molecule: ribosomal RNA, 253 nt
Filed under: uncultured bacterium
Lineage: Bacteria
Description: partial 16S ribosomal RNA
Rfam family: Bacterial small subunit ribosomal RNA
Source: RNAcentral
UACGGAGGGUGCAAGCGUUAUCCGGAUUCACUGGGUUUAAAGGGUGCGUAGGCGGGUUGGUAAGUCCGUGGUGAAAUCCCCAAGCUUAACUUGGGAACUGCCGUCGAUACUAUCAAUCUUGAAUAUCGUGGAGGUAAGCGGAAUAUGUCAUGUAGCGGUGAAAUGCUUAGAUAUGACAUAGAACACCAAUUGCGGAGGCAGCUUACUACACGAUCAUCGACGCUGAGGCACGAAAGCGUGGGGAGCAAACAGG